This is a non-coding RNA of Paramuricea clavata, 73 nucleotides long. The record is from the annotation of a GenBank genome assembly. Lineage: Eukaryota; Metazoa; Cnidaria; Anthozoa; Malacalcyonacea; Plexauridae.
GCCCGGUUAGCUCUGUUGGUAGAACAUCGGACUUUUAAUAUGAGGGCCAUGGGGUCGAGUCCCGUAUCGGGCU